UCUCCGAUAGCUCAGCGGCAGAGCAGGAAGCUGUUAACUUCAAGGUCCUAGGUUCGAAUCCUAGUCGGAGAGCCA
Molecule: transfer RNA, 75 nt
Filed under: Minisyncoccota bacterium
Lineage: Bacteria; Bacillati; Minisyncoccota
Description: tRNA-Asn
Rfam family: tRNA
About the family: Transfer RNA (tRNA) molecules are approximately 80 nucleotides in length. Their secondary structure includes four short double-helical elements and three loops (D, anti-codon, and T loops).
Source: RNAcentral